RNAcentral lists this RNase P RNA (334 nucleotides) under Canis lupus familiaris (dog). Its description in RNAcentral is "Nuclear RNase P (ENSCAFG00030011888.1)". It matches the Rfam family "Nuclear RNase P". Rfam says of the family: Ribonuclease P (RNase P) is a ubiquitous endoribonuclease, found in archaea, bacteria and eukarya as well as chloroplasts and mitochondria. The record is from RNAcentral. Lineage: Eukaryota; Metazoa; Chordata; Mammalia; Carnivora; Canidae.
GUACUCUGAAAGCUUAUAGUUUUAUAAGUUUUUAUAAGUUUAUAGCACUGAUCAAAGUAACUGAAGAUGAAGUCUGAGACUAGGGCCAUAAGGUGGCCCUAACAGAAUCCUCCCUGAGUUUUGGAGAGGUGAAUUUCCAGAAAAUGGGGCUUCACAGAAAGGCAGACUGGGCAGAUAUCAUGGACACCACCCUUGCAGAGUGGCCUGGUGGAUGCCUCCUUAGCCAGAGCUUGGAACAGGCUCACUGGCCAGUGAGUGAAGUGAAUUUAAAGGCUGAGGCGAAGUACCCUGCGCGGGAGCCUCACAACUCAAUUCAGACUACUCUCCCUUGUCC